CGCGUGUACUGGUCCGGCCGGGCCUUUCCCUCUGUGGAACCCCAUGCCCUUCACUGGGUGUGGCGGGGAAACAGGACUUUUACUGUGAAAAAAUUAGAGUGCUCCAGGCAGGCCUAUGCUCUAAUACAUUAUCAUGGAAUAAUAGAAUAGGACGUGUGGUUCUAUUUUGUUGGUUUCUAGGACCGCCGUAAUGAUUAAUAGGGACAGUCGGGGGCAUCAGUAUUCAAUUGUCAGAGGUGAAAUUCUUGGAUUUAUUGAAGACUAACUACUGCGAAAGCAUUUGCCAAGGAUGUUUUCAUUAAUCACGAACGAAAGUUAGGGGAUCGAAAACAAUAAGAUACCGUCGUAUUCUUAACCAUAAAAUAUGCCGACAAGGGAUCGGACGGUGUUAUUUUUUGACCCGUUCGGCACCUUACGAGAAAUCAAAGUGCUUGGGCUCCAGGGGGAGUAUGGUCGCAAGGCUGAAACUUAAAGAAAUUGACGGAAGGGCACCACCCAGGGGUGGAGCCUGCGGCUUAAUUUGACUCAACACGGGGAAACUCACCAGGUCCAGACACAAUGAGGAUUGACAGAUUGAGAGCUCUUUCUUGAUUUUGUGGGUGGUGGUGCAUGGCCGUUCUUAGUUGGUGGAGUGAUUUGUCUGCUUAAUUGCGAUAACGAACGAGACCUUAACCUGCUAAAUAGCCCGUAUUGCUUUGGCAGUACGCUGGCUUCUUAGAGGGACUAUCGG
RNAcentral lists this ribosomal RNA (730 nucleotides) under uncultured eukaryote. Its description in RNAcentral is "SSU rRNA". It matches the Rfam family "Eukaryotic small subunit ribosomal RNA", at positions 670 to 1426 of the family's 1831-position model. The record is from RNAcentral.